GCUGGGUGUGGCAGUGCACACCUGUAAUCCCAGCAGCUCGAGAGGCUGAGGCAGGAGGAUCACGAGUUCAAAGCCAGCCUCAGCAAUUUAGAGAGGCCCUAAGCGACUUAGAGAGACCCCGUCUCCA
Molecule: small RNA, 127 nt
Filed under: Marmota monax (woodchuck)
Lineage: Eukaryota; Metazoa; Chordata; Mammalia; Rodentia; Sciuridae
Source: RNAcentral